AUUUCGCGGCGGGUUGCAGGGUGGAGGUGAAGGGAGGUUUGGUGGAUGUGAUUGAGAGGUUGAAGAAGUUGAUGAAGUGAAGUCAGCGUCAGUUCUGGGUUGCAAUGGAGAUGGAAAAAGAAAAAAAAAUGGGUGAAGAAACCAGUUCAGUUCUAUAGAGGUUGUUGAAGUUGUGGAGGUUAUGGGAAAUUGUGGAUUCAGUUAGGAAUUAGUUAGAUUCAAUGACAGUUGGCGACAGUUGGAAUUGAUUAGGCGAUUAGGACGGUUGAAGACAGUUGGAAUUCGGUUCGAGUUGGUUUCGACAGUUGCUGUUAAUCGUGGGCAGUUAUGGCACUUGGCAGGUUAGUUACCGAGUCGGUUCUCAUAUGAAGUUAGUCAUGGUUUCAGUGAGUGUUUCCAGUUCUCUAUUAUGUUAUGCUUAUGUUUUGCCUCCUUCUUUCCACUGUUAUGCUGUGGAUUCAAAUGGCUUAAUGUUGGAAAAGGUUGAUGUAUAUUUGUGUUUUUGCAGGCUAACGGUUUACGGUCUUUGUUACGGAGCUAUGGUCGGCAUGUUGUAAGGCUUGCAUUGGAUUAUAUUAUGUUGGAGGUGAUGAAAGCAUAAGUUUGAACUGAGUUAUGGUGAGGGAAGUUAGAAGCAGUUUUGAAAUUGUUAUUAUUUUUUUUUCAUGAAAUUUGCAGGUCAAAUGGGUUUGUUUGAAGUGUACGAUCCUUCCAACUGCAUGAAUGAGUCCACAAUGGGAGGUGCGACAAUGACAGUUGGUUCACCCAAGUUAAGCAAAUCUUGAGGAGAUUAUUCAUUGGGUACACUUGCCACACUAGCUCUCAAAACCUUGCUGCCGGCCGAUGUUCCUUUUUUAUGCUGUUAUUUGGAAUGCAUGGCCUGCAUGGAACGCAUGUUUUUAUGUAUGGAAAUAAUUGGAUUUGAAAUGUAUGAAUUGGUAUGGAUUAGUGUGUUUUUUGGGCUUUUGUUGUAAUUUUUAUGCAUUGAAUGUGUAAUAUAGGUAACUGAAUUAGUAAUGUGAGGCAUCAGUGUAAUGUUUAAAUUGGAAUUGAAUACAUGUGAUUUUGGAAAUUGGCUUAUGUAAUGAAAGUGUAGUUUUGCAACUAAUGGUUGAAAUAUUUGUAGUGCAUUUGAAUUGUCAAUUAGAAAUAAUGGUUUAUGAUGGUAAAAUGUCUUUGGAUUGAAUC
Molecule: long non-coding RNA, 1188 nt
Filed under: Lathyrus oleraceus (garden pea)
Lineage: Eukaryota; Viridiplantae; Streptophyta; Magnoliopsida; Fabales; Fabaceae
Description: Pisum sativum (pea) long non-coding RNA (PSAT_LNC008460)
Source: RNAcentral